GGGCAGCCUUUGAAAAGAUGCUUACACAAGUCACUGGCCAACUGUAGGUUCUCCCUCUGCCUCCUAGACUUCCCAAGAGCAAGGUCAAGUCCGUCUGGGUUCAGCACCUCUCACUGAUGGAGCUACAGCAGUGCAUCCUGGCUCAAACCAGCAGAAUUUUUGUCUGUGUCACAGGCUAAGAGGAGCAGGACCCGAGGUCCCAUCGGCCCUGGCAAGUAUGGUUAUGGGAAAGCCCCGUACAUCUUACCAUUGCAGACAGACUCUGCACACCCACCGCAGAGGCUUCGGCGGCAGAGGCCCUCAUCCCGGAAUUCCAGGUCCCAGGGGGCAUCUGGCUCUAGCCAUGACUACCACCCUUCAGCUCACCAGCGCCCCCAGCAUGGACCUCUGUACCAGAGUGACAGUGGCCCGCGUUCUGGACUGCAAGCCUCAGAGGGCUCUGUCUACCAGCUGCCUUUGACCCAUGACCAAGGCUUCCCUGCAGCCUCCAGUCUCUUCCACAGCCCAGAAGCAAGCAGCAGCCCUGGGCUGGGGCCCCCCAGGGCAGCUCAGAGCUUCUCCCAGCCCACCAGAUCUACAGCCAUCUCCUGCAUCGGGGCCUACCGGCAGUACAAGCUGUGCAACACGAACGUGUGUCCAGAAAGCAGUAGAAGUAUCUGGGAGGUACAGUGUGCAUCCUACAACAACAAGCCGUUCAUGGGCCGGUUUUAUGAAUGGGAACCAUUUGCAGAAGUCAAGGGCAAUCGGAAGUGUGAGCUGAACUGCCAGGCAAUGGGCUACCGCUUCUAUGUUCGGCAAGCUGAGAAGGUCAUUGAUGGUACCCCCUGUGACCAGAACGGGACGGCCAUCUGCGUGUCUGGGCAGUGCAAGGUAAGUGCCCCAGACUGGGGUGUCUGGAGUGGGUCUCGGGGUGUUUGAUCUGUGCCUGCAGACUGCACUGUUUGCCAGGCUGUGGCAUGCUUCCUCCCUAUCACCUAUGGUCAACCCCACCCCCCAACUCUGAACCAUGAGCUCUGGGAGAAGUGGAUUAAACAGGGCGGUCUGUUCUGCUCUGAGUUUUCGAUCUUUGGGAGUUGCCAGAUCUCACUCUGGCAUUUCGGUCAUUAAGUGAUUUACGUUUUCAUCAUGUGCGUCCUAAGAAACUCAGGGAUCUUUCCUUGUUGGAUCUGGAGCUUCUUCCUUACCUCUGAAGAGGAGGUUAUGAAAAGGGCACUGCUGGAUCAGUCAAGAGGUGGUUGGCGUCGUCAGGGUGGCAUUUUAAGGGCAUGGCAUAUUUUAUCUUGCCUCCCACCAGCUGGGGCAGGCUUCCAAAUGAAAGCCGUCUAGUGCCUUUAUAGCCAAAGCUGUACUUUCAACAGGAAGUUUUCAGCCUCCCUGGACUUCUGAAGUCUGUUCCAAGAACUCCCCACCCUGCAUUCUGCAAACAUUCUGGGCUGGAGAGAAUCCUUGUGGGAUGCUACCCUUUCACAGAAAAGCACCAUUUGCUUAAAACAGGCGCACCAGAGAGAUGGCACCAGUUCCACAGUAUAUUCACUGGGGCCUGGACGCCCACCCUCCUUUCAUCUAUAAAUGUAAGCGUGGAGGUCUGACUCUUGCAGGUAAAUGACUUUUUGGAGCCCAGGCUAAGACUCUAUCUUAAUUAGCACUCAAUGGCAGGCAGGACUGAGUUUCAUCAAAGGAAGGGCUCUUUGGCUGUCACAUCUGAACGUUUCAAUGUAAAUUGUUGCACUGUUUAGUAUUAGAGCUACUCAAGUAUGAUUUAUAAGCACCUCAUUCCCCCUCCCGCCUUUUUCUUCAUGAGGUUUUAAAUAGAAUACAAACUAAUUUAUCAAAGCAGUAUGAAUAUUCUGGGGCUUCUCAGGUGGCUCAGUGGUGAAGAAUUCACCUGCAGCGCAGGAGAUGCGGGUUCAAUACCUAGGUUGGGAAAAUCCCUGGGAGAUGGAAGUGGCAAGCUACUGCAGUAUUCUUGCCUGGGAAAUCCCAUGGACAGAGGAGCCUGGUGGGUUACAGUCCAUGGGGUCACAAAGAGUCGGAAAGGACUCAGCAACUAAACAGCAACAACAUGGAUAGUCUGAGACUGUGAAUAAAGAAAGGAAAAAGCUGUCAUUUGAUAUUUGAUGCAUGUGACGUUGCCUUUGGACAGACAAGAAACCCACAAAGUUUCGAGAUGGAGUUCAAAAGAGUCAAGGAAUAUGGUGGGGAGCACACUGGAGGCUGAGACCUAUCUGGCCCCAGUUUCGACUCCUUUGGGAAAAACCACUGGGUUUCAUGCGUCCCCUCUAUCGUUACUGUCUUCAGAUAAUACUGAAGGAAGUCCCAUUAGAGCUCGUAAUUUCUGACUCAACUAGUCCCUUCUUCUACAUGUUAACUGAGCCUGAAAAGCACUUUAUAGCGACCUAGCUUUUCUUUCGGAUCCUGAAUCAACAGUUAAUUUCCUGAAUACAAGUGCACACUGCUGAGAGAUGUGAUAGUGCAGUGGUUAAAAACAUGCCUCUGAAGUCAGACCGCUUGGAUUCAGUCCUGCUUUGGUCAUUGACUGUGUAACCUUGCACAAGUCCCAUGAGCUCUCGGUGCCCCUACAUCACCUACAGCACGAGGAGGAUGGUACCGACCUCCUGCUUUGUAGUGAAGAGUCAUGAGCCAAACACGUAUGGUCCUCAUAUCAGGUCUGGCACUUAGUAAAGCAGGCUGGCUUUUCCUGGUAUUAUGUUCACUUAUGCCCACAUAUGACCUGUUGUAUUUGAAUUUUUUAUGCAGAAGUAUUUGAAUUUUUUAGCAGAUUAUAGAUUUGUGAGAUUCACAUUAUCCUAUUUUGCAGAAAAAUGGAAAUACUUUAAUUGACAGAUACAUCUUUAUAAUAAUUUUUCCUUAUAUAUUUUGGCUGCG
Long non-coding RNA from Capra hircus (goat), 2886 nucleotides. Lineage: Eukaryota; Metazoa; Chordata; Mammalia; Artiodactyla; Bovidae. The record is from Ensembl.